This 340-nucleotide ribosomal RNA is filed under the name Lacticaseibacillus casei. RNAcentral describes it as "bacterial SSU rRNA". It matches the Rfam family "Bacterial small subunit ribosomal RNA", at positions 93 to 426 of the family's 1533-position model. The record is from RNAcentral. Lineage: Bacteria; Bacillati; Bacillota; Bacilli; Lactobacillales; Lactobacillaceae.
GAGUGGCGGACGGGUGAGUAACACGUGGGUAACCUGCCCUUAAGUGGGGGAUAACAUUUGGAAACAGAUGCUAAUACCGCAUAGAUCCAAGAACCGCAUGGUUCUUGGCUGAAAGAUGGCGUAAGCUAUCGCUUUUGGAUGGACCCGCGGCGUAUUAGCUAGUUGGUGAGGUAAUGGCUCACCAAGGCGAUGAUACGUAGCCGAACUGAGAGGUUGAUCGGCCACAUUGGGACUGAGACACGGCCCAAACUCCUACGGGAGGCAGCAGUAGGGAAUCUUCCACAAUGGACGCAAGUCUGAUGGAGCAACGCCGCGUGAGUGAAGAAGGCUUUCGGGUCGU